GACGUAGGAUGCGAGCGUUACUCGGAAUUACUGGGCGUAAAGCGUCGGUAGGCGGCCUGGACAGUCUGAGGUCAAAUGGCGGAGCUCAACUCCGUCACCGUCUCGGAUACUCCCAGGCUUGAGCAACGGAGAGGCACCUGGAAUGCCGUGUGUAGGGGUAAAAUCCGUUGAUCCACGGUAGAACGCUCAAAGCGAAGGCAGGGUGCUAGAAGUUCGCUGACGCUGAACGACGAAAGCGUGGGGAGCAAACGGGAUUAGAUACCCUGGUAGU
RNAcentral lists this ribosomal RNA (271 nucleotides) under uncultured bacterium. RNAcentral describes it as "partial 16S ribosomal RNA". It matches the Rfam family "Bacterial small subunit ribosomal RNA", at positions 524 to 794 of the family's 1533-position model. The record is from RNAcentral.